This 468-nucleotide ribosomal RNA is filed under the name uncultured bacterium. RNAcentral's name for it is "partial 16S ribosomal RNA". It matches the Rfam family "Bacterial small subunit ribosomal RNA", at positions 28 to 507 of the family's 1533-position model. The record is from RNAcentral.
GACGAACGCUGGCGGCGUGCUUAACACAUGCAAGUCGAACGGAAAGGCCCUGCUUUUGUGGUGUUCUCGAGUGGCGAACGGGUGAGUAACACGUGAGUAACCUGCCCUUGACUUUGGGAUAACUUCAGGAAACUGGGGCUAAUACCGGAUAGGAGCUCCUGCUGCAUGGUGGGGGUUGGAAAGUUUCGGCGGUUGGGGAUGGACUCGCGGCUUAUCAGCUUGUUGGUGGGGUAGUGGCUUACCAAGGCUUUGACGGGUAGCCGGCCUGAGAGGGUGACCGGCCACAUUGGGACUGAGAUACGGCCCAGACUCCUACGGGAGGCAGCAGUGGGGAAUAUUGCACAAUGGGCGGAAGCCUGAUGCAGCAACGCCGCGUGCGGGAUGACGGCCUUCGGGUUGUAAACCGAUUUCGCCUGUGACGAAGCGUGAGUGACGGUAAUGGGUAAAGAAGCACCGGCUAACUACGUG